Molecule: small RNA, 28 nt
Filed under: Bombyx mori (domestic silkworm)
Lineage: Eukaryota; Metazoa; Arthropoda; Insecta; Lepidoptera; Bombycidae
Description: ovarian small RNA-19766
Source: RNAcentral
UAAUGCUAGGAAACAGCUUGUCUCUCGA